GGGUCCGUAGAUCAGUGGUAGAUCGCAUGACUACGAAUCAUGAGGUCGUCGGUUCGAGACCGGCCGGACCCU
Transfer RNA from Coniosporium apollinis CBS 100218, 72 nucleotides. It matches the Rfam family "tRNA". Rfam says of the family: Transfer RNA (tRNA) molecules are approximately 80 nucleotides in length. Lineage: Eukaryota; Fungi; Ascomycota; Dothideomycetes. The record is from Rfam.